ACGUAGGGUGCAAGCGUUAUUCGGAAUUAUUGGGCGUAAAGCGUGCGUAGGCGGCUGGGCAAGACCGAUGUGAAAACCCUGGGCUUAACCUGGGAAUUGCAUUGGUGACUGCACGGCUAGAGUGUGGCAGAGGGGGGUAGAAUUCCACGUGUAGCAGUGAAAUGCGUAGAUAUGUGGAGGAAUACCGAUGGCGAAGGCAGCCUCCUGGGAUAACACUGACGCUCAUGCACGAAAGCGUGGGGAGCAAACAG
This 251-nucleotide ribosomal RNA is filed under the name uncultured prokaryote. RNAcentral describes it as "partial 16S rRNA". It matches the Rfam family "Bacterial small subunit ribosomal RNA", at positions 525 to 775 of the family's 1533-position model. The record is from RNAcentral.